CCUACGGGAGGCAGCAGUGGGGGAUAUUGCACAAUGGGGGAAACCCUGAUGCAGCGACGCCGCGUGGGUGAAGAAGCGCCUCGGCGCGUAAAGCCCUGUCAGCAGGGGAGAAAAUGACGGUACCUGAAGAAUAAGCCCCGUCUAACUCCGUGCCAGCAGCCGCGGUAAUACGUAGGGGGCAAGCGUUAUCCGGAUUUACUGGGUGUAAAGGGGGCGCAGACGGCGAUGCAAGCCAGGAGUGAAAGCCCGGGGCCCAACCCCGGGACUGCACUGGGAACUGCGUGGCUAGAGUGCAGGAGGGGCAGGCGGAAUUCCUGGUGUAGCGGUGAAAUGCGUAGAUAUCAGGAGGAACACCGGUGGCGAAGGCGGCCUGCUGGACUGCAACUGACGUUGAGGCCCGAAAGCGUGGGGAGCAAACAGGAUUAGAUACCCGAGUAGUC
This 440-nucleotide ribosomal RNA is filed under the name uncultured bacterium. RNAcentral describes it as "partial 16S ribosomal RNA". It matches the Rfam family "Bacterial small subunit ribosomal RNA", at positions 338 to 795 of the family's 1533-position model. The record is from RNAcentral.